UACAGAGGUGGCAAGCGUUGUUCGGAAUUACUGGGCGUAAAGGGCGCGUAGGCGGUCUUGCAAGUCCCGUGUGAAAUCCCUCGGCUCAACUGAGGAACUGCACGGGAAACUGCUUGGCUUGAGUUCGGGAGAGGGAAGCGGAAUUCCGGGUGUAGCGGUGAAAUGCGUAGAUAUCGGAAGGAACAUCAGUGGCGAAAGCGGCUUCCUGGACCAGUACCGACGUUCAGGCACGAAAGCGUGGGGAGCAAACAGG
Molecule: ribosomal RNA, 253 nt
Filed under: uncultured bacterium
Lineage: Bacteria
Description: partial 16S ribosomal RNA
Rfam family: Bacterial small subunit ribosomal RNA
Source: RNAcentral